CUCCUUUCCGCUCCAACGCACGGAGGGUGAGGUCGGUGCGCGGUGGCGUCACGGCGCCAGCUCCUCCCGACGCCGAGAUUUGGUAACUCGAGGCGUCCCUGGAGUACACUGAGGAUAAGUGUUUGAGAAAUGCUGUCUGAAGGAAUGAAGUCAGUCUAUGACAACGUCUCUCUGCCGUGAAUCAUUCCUGCAGAUGAAAAAGUGUGACUUGGCAGCUGCCAAUCUAAAAAGGGCCCUCAGGAUCGCCCACAAUGCCCAGCUUAGCUUCUUGACAAACACCUUAAUGGCGCAGCAUUGCCUGUUGGCUGCCAUCGGCUCUUGAGUGGGUGAGGAGCCACCAGUGGUGCAGGAGCAGUUGGGGUCCAUUUCGAGCCGCGGUAAGGCUGGAGAUCUCAAGCGAUAACGGAGAGACAGCAAGGCGCACGUGGACGGCGUGUUCACCAAUUACCAAACUUUUUGACCUGAGCAACUAGAAGAAUGGAGUUGCCAUUAUUUGACACAAAGAAGACUGCAGGAGGGACAAGUUUGAGUAGAAAUAUGAAGAGCUCAC
RNAcentral lists this small RNA (550 nucleotides) under Pan troglodytes (chimpanzee). RNAcentral describes it as "processed transcript". The record is from RNAcentral. Lineage: Eukaryota; Metazoa; Chordata; Mammalia; Primates; Hominidae.